AUUUAUGGGAUGAAGGGUAGGGCGGGCGGAAGUGUGGAGACGUGACUGGAGGUGAGGAGAGAGGUGAUCAUGACCUGCGCGCAGAGUCAGGCUUCACGGCUCUUCUCAGGAUGGAUGUCCACAAAAUGGCGGCCUCACCAUGAUCUCAGGGUGGAGUUUUCAGCUCCUUGACAUCAAAGGGCCACUUAUCGGGCAUUUGUGCAGGCCCAGUUGAGGGGUUGGUGGUCUCAACCGGCCUGAAGUGGACAAGGGAGGACUCAGAUCCUGAAAACCACUCCUAAUUACUCUGUUGAUAAGAUGGUUUCUACCACGUUCCCCUUGACCUUCCCUUCUACAGCCUGGCCUGAUUCGGGGGUCACGAGGCAGGAGAACCAUGGGCAAGAGGGAGCUCGGAGUGCGUAAGAGUCACCAGGAGGAGGGGAUGGUGAAGGUGGCAGUGGGAGCAG
RNAcentral lists this long non-coding RNA (446 nucleotides) under Equus caballus (horse). Its description in RNAcentral is "lncRNA (ENSECAG00000059622.1)". The record is from RNAcentral. Lineage: Eukaryota; Metazoa; Chordata; Mammalia; Perissodactyla; Equidae.